This 1215-nucleotide long non-coding RNA is filed under the name Oryctolagus cuniculus (rabbit). Its description in RNAcentral is "lncRNA (ENSOCUG00000034759.1)". Lineage: Eukaryota; Metazoa; Chordata; Mammalia; Lagomorpha; Leporidae. The record is from RNAcentral.
CAGGACAGGAAGAAGCAGCUGAUGGUGCUGACAGACUGCUUACAGGGGGGCAGCAGCCUGCGGGACGGCUCCCUGGAGCUCAUGGUGAGUGGGCGUAGGGGAGCUCCAGCCACGGUAGAGUCCUCCCACCAAGUCCCUCAGGACUUUGGACAAGGAUACUGCUGGACUCUCACCCUCUCUUGGCCACUCCCCCCAGGUGCACCGAAGGCUGCUGAAAGAUGACAGACGUGGCCUGGGGGAGGCGCGGCUAGAGGAGAAGUUGGGGUCGUGGGUGCGGGGGCGCCACCUCGUGCUGCUGGACGCGGUGGGCACGGUGGCCGCAGGGCACUGGCAGCUGGCAGAGAAGGAGGUCCUGGCGCCACAGGUGGUGCUGGCGCCGGGGGUGGUGCCCGGUACAAUCCUAGAGCUGCCGUGUGCACACAGGUGAGGGCCAGUGAGAUGAGCAGGUUGCUUGGGUGCCACCCCACUGGACCUUAAAAGCUAGGUACAGCCCGAGCUCCCGCCCCUUCACCUCCUGCUUGUCUUCGUCCGGCCCCAUCUCUCUUCACCCAGGUCCUGUUGCCCGCCUAGCUGUCCCCUUAUUUUACUCAUCUGGCCCCACCCCUUCACCCCUGUGGUUCCAGCUUCUGGCCUGUUCACUUCCGGGCUUGCACCUGUACUGUACAAUUUUGGAUCAUCCUAUUCCCCUCCUUGGCUCAGUUCUCCAGGAUUUUUCCCACUCUUUUCAGCUGUGCCCCGCCCCUCCUCCACAAGCCCUGCCCCUCUCUGACUCAGCCCCGCCUCCGUCUCCCUGCAGUUCUCAGGGCUGCGCCAGGAGCUCCCGCCCUCCAUGCACCUGCUCACCCUGGCCCGCUGGGGCCUAGGGACGCUGCUGCUGCGCUUGGAGCACCAGUUCGCCAGUGGGGAGGACUUGGGCUGGAACUUGAGUUCCCCCGUGACCUUGGAUUUACAGAACCUUUUCUCCACCUGCACUAUCACCUGCCUGCAGGAGACCAUGCCGGCCACCAACCAGCCCCAGGCCAGUGCCUCCAGGCUCAAGUGGACACUAAAUACCAGUGGGCACCUAGCGUGGGAGGGGUGGGCUCCUGCCUGGGGCUGGUAGCUGGGGCGAUGUAUGAGGCGUGGGAAUGUGGGCCAGGAUCCAGUAUAGAACUUGAAGAACCUGGGCAGAUCCAGGCUCGGGGCUUCAGAGUCCCAAGUGGGUUCAGCCCAUGA